Coffea arabica (coffee) is the source of this 3161-nucleotide non-coding RNA. The record is from RefSeq and is a predicted model, not a curated record. NCBI's taxonomy places the organism in Eukaryota, Viridiplantae, Streptophyta, Magnoliopsida, Gentianales, Rubiaceae.
CUUGUAGUUCCCGCGCAGUCUCUUGGUCCAAAAUAUUUGGGCAACCCGCCUCUUCCCUCCACUCCCACUCCCUCUAGAGUCUAAGCUCCAGAACCCUCCCUCCCCAGAAAACUUAAACUAAUUUCAGAGCCCCUCAGUCCCAUGCCAUUUCUUACAAUUACUAUUGCCUUUGCCGCCGCAGGAUACCAGAUAAAUGAGCGAUGGUCGGGAGCAAUAGUACGGCGGAGACGGCGUUUGCCAAGACCAUCUGCUCAAUCUGUUAUGAAGACCUCAAACCCAUUGUCGAAGACCUUCAAUCCAUCUCCAUCUGCGGCCACGUUUUUCACGAGCUUUGUCUUCAGCAAUGGUUCGAGUAUUGCACAAAUGGGAAGAAGAAGAAUUGUCCCGUAUGCAAGCAGACUUGUUCCAAUGCAAACGUGGGUCGGCUUUAUUUUCAAUCUGUUGGGGAUCCGAAUGACCCGGGUUUAACUCAGAAAGCAGGGAAUUAUGAGGAGAACCCCGAGGAAUUGCGGAAUGAAGUGAGGAGAUUGGAAGGGAAGGUUCUAGGGCUUAGCUCAGCUUUGGAGCAGCUACAGAAGAGUUCUGAAGCUGUCAAUGCUGAGCUGUGCAUGUAUAAGGAAACGGUCCAAGUAGAGGUGGCUUUAAAGAAUGAAGCUCUAAAGCAGAAAGCUACCAUCCAGCAACUGAUGCAUUUCAAAUCUGAGGAGUUGGACCGAUCAACUUUGGAGUGCAUGAAGCUUCAGGAAAGGAAUAUGGCCUUAGCCAAGGAACUUGCAGCACUGAAGCUAGUAUCUGAUUUGAACUUGGAUGAGGAUGAGGCUCUGAAGCUUGCAUGCUUGGGUAAUGAGGUCAACAGCAAAGAGACUAUUGAUGUUCUGAAGAAAUCAUUGGUCAUCCGUAACAAGAGCUACAAAGAAUUGAUGACUAAGUGCAAUGUGCUUGGAAGAGGAGAGGCUCGGUCUCUUAGUAAACUAGAGAAGGCUAAAGAUAAGAUAAAGAAGCUGAAGGAAAGGAUCCAGGAACUUGAAUCUGUUGCUGAAGUAAAAGUUAAUGAAACUUUGAGAACUUUGAAAGCUUCUAGAAAAUCUGCUUGUGAGGUAGAAAAACUUGCUAAGGGUUUCGACCAGGGUAGCAGAAAUGACGUAACUUCAUGCAGAGAUCAAAACAAGGAACCUGUUCCGGAAACAGAAAUGGGCACAUCGGAGAAUUCAUCUUGUUCACUAAAGAAAAGGAAGCUUAACUCUUCUGGAUUUACAAGUAAUAGAAGUACAACUGAUAAUGUGGUUCCCAGGAAAAUUAACCCAGCUAAUCAGGAUCAAGGCUACUUCUUGCAUAAUCAAGUUGAGAAUGCGAGGGAGACUUUUGUUCACUUGAACUCGUGUGGACAAUUGAAACCUUUAGCUGAAAAUAGAGGGGCGGCCUGGAAGAGUGGCUCAAGGACAGGGGACACACUAAGUGAAAUCCAAGCUGAGCGACAUGGCAGCAUGGAUGGAGCAUCAGGUGCUGUGGGAGAUACAAAGCCUAAUACCGAGAACAGAGCAGAUAUGGUGGAUAAUAACAUGGUAAUACUAGAUGAUGACAUGGGAUUACCUCAGUCUUUGCUGAAUGUUAGAAAAGAAACUCCAUUACCAGCUGUAGUUUCCCAGCCAGGAAGUCACUGUUUCUCUGGGGGGUUGCUAGGUCCUGAUGGGACUAAAUGGCACUUGGGGAAAUGGUGCAAGAGGAAUAAGGGUCAAGCAUCUCUGUCUACGGGACUGCAAGGUUCAAAUGCAAGUACGGCAGACUUGAUUGCUGUCGGAGCUGAUGGUAGGGGUGGCAGAAUUAAAGUUUUGAGAUCUCUCAAUCAGUCAUCAUUGGAUAACAGAGAAAAUCUCACAAGCACAAAGAAAUGCAAAGUGGGAGACAAACCAAGUAGUUUCCAGUCUCAUGGGUGCUUGCAAAUAGAACACUUCUUCGGAAGGGCAAGUCAAUAGUGGAGAUUCUCGAGUGAAGUUUGUAGCCGGUUUUGGACAUGAGGAGAUUUUUCUCCUUGCGCUUGUGAUUAUGUUAACUUAUCCUCAAUUUAGUCUGUGGCUCAAAUUAGGAAGGGUGUAGCCUUGGCAGUUUUGAAUUUUCGUGAUCCAACGCCAUAUUUGCUUUAUUUCUUUUCCUCACCUACAAACUACAGUUAUAAAGGGGCAAAAUCGAGGGUGCAAUUUCCAUCGUCAUGGUUCAAGGGAUUGGAGUUAUAAAACUUUGAUGAUUUUGAGUGGGAAACACAUGCUUUGUAGCUUGACACCUGCCAGCACAUGUUAAGAAGUUUUGCAAAUUCUCUAUGUUACUUUUUUGAAUUCAUUCAAUCGUCUCUCCGAGUUUGUCUUUCUUUUUCGGUGGGUGAGAACGAGAUGAAGAGGUAGGUAAUCAGGGUAUUGUUGGGCCUUGUUUCUGGUUGCCAACUUUGCUAAUUUUCUGAGGUAACAUUUAUCUGUAGGAAGCAGCAGUAGUCAUGAGCUGAAAAUACAGUAGUAAAACUUCAAUAUGAUUUGGCUAGAACUAGAAGUUGUCUGUCUAUCCAAAACUGCAGAUGUGGAAUACAGAAGUUGCAGAUUCACGGCCAAAUUUGUCCGAGUUCGACGAAUAUCUUUAAGGCAAUAACGAGGAGGCAAAAAGUUUUAGAGUCACACCUGAACAUUUGAGGAUGAUCUGGCAACGACCAUAGUUAGCUGCAGCAACUUCGGACUUUCAGUUGCAGACUUGACUGCGCCGGCCGGCGCGCGUUCAUACAUGAAUUGCCUUCUUUUUGCUUAAAGUUUGGGUGUCAGUUGUUUCUUCUUAGGCUCUAUCUUCUUCUGUGGACUCUUCUAGUAGUACGCAAGGGGUGGUUGAGAAUCUUGAAUUGAGUUUCGAAAGCUGGAGGUGGUGGUGGUGGCUCCAUAGCUGAAGGUGGAAACAGAAAAUGUUGUUAUUGUUUGAAGAUGAUGGCAUUGAAUCGUGCCGAAGCUAGAAAGAAAAGGUUGAAUUGGACUUGUUUGGAAGGGGAAAGAUGAUCCGAAAUGGAGCAAUCAUCAUCAAUCCAAUUAAGCUUGCAAUUUGUUUAUUUUUCCUUUCCCAAUUCCCACCCACUCCAUAAAAUAUAAUACUACUACUCCUUGAGACGUCUGUGAAUUGAUAUUUUUUGCAUA